Molecule: ribosomal RNA, 769 nt
Filed under: uncultured Paenibacillus sp.
Lineage: Bacteria; Bacillati; Bacillota; Bacilli; Caryophanales; Paenibacillaceae
Description: bacterial SSU rRNA
Rfam family: Bacterial small subunit ribosomal RNA
Source: RNAcentral
AGAGUUUGAUCAUGGCUCAGGACGAACGCUGGCGGCGUGCCUAAUACAUGCAAGUCGAGCGGGUUUAUUCCUUCGGGAAUAAACUAGCGGCGGACGGGUGAGUAACACGUAGGCAACCUGCCUGAAGGACUGGGAUAACUAUCGGAAACGAUAGCUAAGACCGGAUAACUGGUAUCUCCGCAUGGAGGUAUCAUGAAACACGGAGCAAUCUGUGGCCUUUGGAUGGGCCUGCGGCGCAUUAGCUAGUAGGUGAGGUAACGGCUCACCUAGGCGACGAUGCGUAGCCGACCUGAGAGGGUGAACGGCCACACUGGGACUGAGACACGGCCCAGACUCCUACGGGAGGCAGCAGUAGGGAAUCUUCCGCAAUGGACGCAAGUCUGACGGAGCAACGCCGCGUGAGUGAUGAAGGUUUUCGGAUCGUAAAGCUCUGUUGCCCUAGACGAACGAGUUAGAGAGUAACUGCUCUAACUGUGACGGUAUAGGAGAAGAAAGCCCCGGCUAACUACGUGCCAGCAGCCGCGGUAAUACGUAGGGGGCAAGCGUUGUCCGGAAUUAUUGGGCGUAAAGCGCGCGCAGGCGGUCAUGUAAGUUGGGUGUUUAAUCCCGGGGCUCAACCCCGGUUCGCAUCCAAAACUGUGUGACUUGAGUGUAGGAGAGGAAAGUGGAAUUCCACGUGUAGCGGUGAAAUGCGUAGAGAUGUGGAGGAACACAGUGGCGAAGGCGACUUUCUGGCUAUACUGACGCUGAGCGCGAAGCGUGGGAGCAA